RNAcentral lists this ribosomal RNA (458 nucleotides) under uncultured bacterium. Its description in RNAcentral is "partial 16S ribosomal RNA". It matches the Rfam family "Bacterial small subunit ribosomal RNA", at positions 338 to 795 of the family's 1533-position model. The record is from RNAcentral.
CCUACGGGAGGCAGCAGUGAGGAAUAUUGGUCAAUGGCCGUAAGGCUGAACCAGCCAAGUAGCGUGAGGGAAGACUGCCCUAUGGGUUGUAAACCUCUUUUGUCGGGGAGCAAAAGCCGGACGUGUCCGGCUGUGAGAGUACCCGAAGAAAAAGCAUCGGCUAACUCCGUGCCAGCAGCCGCGGUAAUACGGAGGAUGCGAGCGUUAUCCGGAUUUCUGGGGGUUAAAGGGUGCGCAGGCGGAUUGUUAAGUCAGCGGUCAAAUCGUGGGGCUCAACCCUAUUCAGCCGUUGAAACUGGGGAUCUAGAGUGUGCGAGAGGUAUGCGGAAUGCGUGGUGUAGCGGUGAAAUGCAUAGAUAUCACGCAGAACCCCGAUUGCGAAGGCAGCAUACCGGUGCACAACUGACGCUCAGGCACGAAAGCGUGGGUAUCGAACAGGAUUAGAUACCCCAGUAGUC